UAAACUAGGAUUAGAUACCCUAUUAUUAGAAAUAAAACAUUGUUAGUAAAUAAUAUUUAUGAAAACAAAAAAUCAUGGCGGUAUCUUAAGCUUUUCAGAGGAAUUUGCUCUUUAAUGGAUAAAACACCCAAAUCUUACUAAAAUUGGUUAAGACAGUUUGUAUACCACUAUUUAAGUAAUUAUUAAUUAUAAUUGCUGUAAAUUUUAAACAAAAAAAAAGUUAAGUCAAGGUGCAGCAUAAAUUUUAGGAUGAAGUGAAUUACAAUGCUUUUUAGAAAAGCGAUUUAAAAAAAAAAUUAGGAUUUGAAAGUAAAAAUUUUAAUAGAAUGAUUAUUUGAAUUAAGCUCUGAGAUAUGUACAUAUCGCCC
RNAcentral lists this ribosomal RNA (368 nucleotides) under Amblyomma sculptum. RNAcentral's name for it is "partial 12S ribosomal RNA". The record is from RNAcentral. Lineage: Eukaryota; Metazoa; Arthropoda; Arachnida; Ixodida; Ixodidae.